GUCUUGUAAUUGGAAUGAUGGGAAUUUAAACCUCUUCCAGAGUAUCAAUUGGAGGGCAAGUCUGGUGCCAGCAGCCGCGGUAAUUCCAGCUCCAAUAGCGUAUAUUAAACUUGUUGCAGUUAAAAAGCUCGUAGUUGAAUUUCUGCUGUAUCGUUAUCUUCUGCUUGACAGUUUGGUAUCGUUAUGGCUUGUUGGGUCACUUUGUGUCCCGGCGUUUACUUUGAGAAAAUUAGAGUGCUUCAAGCAGGCUUUUGCCUUGAAUACUUUAGCAUGGAAUAAUGGAGUAGGACUUUGGUUCUAUUUUGUUGGUUUUAGGAGCCAGAGUAAUGGUUAAUAGGAACAGUUGGGGGCAUUCGUAUUUGACUGUCAGAGGUGAAAUUCUUAGAUUUGUCAAAGACGAACUACUGCGAAAGCAUUUGCCAAGGAUGUUUUCAUUAAUCAAGAACGAAAGUUAGGGGAUCGAAGACGAUCAGAUACCGUCGUAGUCCUAACUAUAAACGAUGCCGACUAGAGAUUGGAGGUCGUCAGUUUGAACGACUCCUUCAGCACCUUGAGAGAAAUCAAAGUCUUUGG
This 573-nucleotide ribosomal RNA is filed under the name Theileria equi. RNAcentral's name for it is "SSU rRNA". It matches the Rfam family "Eukaryotic small subunit ribosomal RNA", at positions 500 to 1110 of the family's 1831-position model. The record is from RNAcentral. Lineage: Eukaryota; Apicomplexa; Aconoidasida; Piroplasmida; Theileriidae.